Long non-coding RNA from Oreochromis niloticus (Nile tilapia), 1097 nucleotides. RefSeq lists it as uncharacterized. The record is from RefSeq and is a predicted model, not a curated record. NCBI's taxonomy places the organism in Eukaryota, Metazoa, Chordata, Actinopteri, Cichliformes, Cichlidae. The transcript is spliced from 2 exons.
UUCAUGAGCUUGUAAUAAUUUUACCAAGUUUCUGUAAUUUCACAGACAGUGUGGAGUGGGAAUUUCUCUUUAUCUCUACCUGUGUUAGUGGAAAACGGUUCUCAUUCUUAUACUUCUUUCUUUUCCUUUGAAUUUGAGGUAUUUGUUUGUCACAUGUCUGGACUUGCAGCUGCUCAAACAGGACAAACAAAGGUGGGCGUGAAAAUGUUGACGCAGGUCACAGAUGUCUGAUAUAAAACAGCUGACAGAAAAUACAGGUUAGUUUAGUCUGCAGCUGUUUGACACAGACAUACCUUUACUUUGGGGUUUUAAACUUUUACAUUUUUUAUGAUUUGAUUUUUUUUAUUUCUCAAAUAUUUAUAUCUGAGCAACUUUUCACUUGUUUGUAACAAAACUUCAGUAGCUUCCUUUUCACCUACUGAAAAACUGAUGGGACACACUGACCUCACAGUUUUUUUUAUCUGUCAGUAGAUAAUUUUAUUUUUUCCACUCUGAUGAUCAGAAGAGUGUUUGAGUGUUUCAGAGAUCCUUCAGAACAACAAUGUACUGAGAGACUCCUGCACUGAUGUUUCAUAGUAAAGUCCAAACAGCCUCACUGGUUCUCCAUAAAGAACAAAGAUUUGCUCUCUGUGGCUCCAACACAACUUAAAGACAAUCAAAGGUGGACAAAGUUCUCUGUGGUUUGAUGGAGGCUACAGCUAAAUGCUGCCUCCUCCAUAGUACAAUAUACAUUUAUACAGUGACGUCAUGUUGAAGUCCUUUGGCUGAUGAUGGUCUUUAGUAUGUAGCUGAUGGUUGAUGAUGAGAUGUUUGUGUUGUUCUGUGGAGAUCAUUCAAGAACUGAACCUGUUAAACACUCAGACCUGCUUUAGAUUUCACCGCUUUAGUUAUGACGCACUUAUUUAUGGUCACCCUACAGCAGCGUAAACACACGUGACUCUGACGUUACUUCCUUCAGAGACGAUGAAUUGGACGUAUUGAGUUUGAACGAGUGUCUAAAAAGUCAGAUCUGUUCUCACAGUCAGAGACUUUCAGGAUCAUUUAAACCUUAAAUUUAAUCUCAUGUAGUCAGGAUUUAAACUCAGGUUCAGUUAUUU